This is a long non-coding RNA of Felis catus (domestic cat), 1420 nucleotides long. RefSeq lists it as uncharacterized. The record is from RefSeq and is a predicted model, not a curated record. NCBI's taxonomy places the organism in Eukaryota, Metazoa, Chordata, Mammalia, Carnivora, Felidae. The transcript is spliced from 2 exons.
AGAGCGCAGGGAGCUGGGGGGUCUCGCAAAGCCCCCUGAUUUAUUGCCCUUUGUGUGAAGGAGAUUUACGAGCUCAGACCUGGAGCGGAGACCUUGUCGGGAGGCGCGGAGAGCGGGUUUCCCAGAGGCAAGGGAGGCCGGUGGUCACCCGCGAUCUUCUCUGGCGCUGGAAUGCUCAAGACGGCCCCUCCCGCCUUCUCCAGGGCCUCUCUACAAGGGUCAUCUCUCCAGCAAGAUAGCUUGGACUUCCUUACAGCAUGGCUGCUGGGUUCCAAGAGGGGAAAAGGGGAAACUGCUGCUUCUCUUAAGGACUGAACUUGGUGGGAAGACCCGAAACACCACUGCUGCCAACUCUCUUGGUCAGAGCAAGUCUCAAAGCCAGCACAGAGGGAGGGAAAAUAGAUUCCAACUCUUGGCUGAUUGAAUGACGUGUGUCCAUGGAUUAGAGGAAUUAUUGGCAGCGGUAUUGGGAGACUGUCGACCAGGAGUGAUCAAGUAUCUAGUCCUGAAUAUAAAAAAGCCUUCCCUUGAUCUUGCUUUUCCCUAGAAAUCUUUCACUGACUCACUACCCACCCCCCACCCUGCCUCAUUUAGCAUCCCAUAAGAAUCUGGAUUUGCCGCUGUCUACUCUGCUGAAACUGCAUUCAUCAGUGACUUCCUACAUGGCUGACAUGAUGGCCAUCUUCAGUUCUCACCCGGCUUGCCCUGCCAGUGAGCUCUGAAGCAGCCAACAACCCCCGCCUUCCAGAAACAGUGCUCCCUGCUUCCUGGUAUGCACCUCUCUUCUGGGUCUCUUCCCACUCUUUUUCUGUCUUUUUGGUUAGGUCCUCUUCUUCCGUCAACCCCUUUAUUUCCAGGUCUUCCACAUCUUUAUUUCCAUCUGCAAGCUCUCUCCUGACGUGCAGAUCCGUGUUCCUCACUUCUGGAAUACUGUUCUGCAGACAUCUCCACCCACAUACACCUCGCUUCUCCCUGGCUUCCCCUCUUAGCGAAUGAACAAAAUCAUCGUUUACCUGGCUGUGCCAGCCGGGAACGCAGGAGCCAUCAUCCCACAUACUUCCCACCCUUGCCGUCCACUACCCUUCCAUAUACGCACAAUGUGAUGGUCCACCAAACUUGUUGCUUUUACCUCAUGAUUUGCUCUCUAGUCUGUCCCUUCCUCUUCAUCCUCACAGCCAUCGUCUCCUGGUAGAAGAGUCCCCAAACUGCUCUUACUGAUCUUUUUUGCCUCAGUCUAUCUAUGCCUCAUCUCUCCCUCCACCUGGCUACCCAAACACCAUUCCCAAACAAGUCUGGUCACUCCCCUCCCUGCCACCGUGGUGGUGCUGACCACAGCAUUUCACAAAGUUUGUUCUGUAGAUGUUAACAGGUGUUAACAACAACAACAAAAGUUCUCUUGACAAAUACAUUUGGAAAAUGA